This is a non-coding RNA of Cinara cedri, 237 nucleotides long. NCBI's taxonomy places the organism in Eukaryota, Metazoa, Arthropoda, Insecta, Hemiptera, Aphididae. The record is from the annotation of a GenBank genome assembly.
UUCUUCUUUUUUUAUACUAUGUACGAAAAUUCUACCAGAAAUCUUGUUCCAAUGUAUACGAUGUAAACCUUUUUCUGAAAGAAAAUUUGACUGAGAAGGUAUUUUAGAGUGGUCAUUUUCAGUUUUCCCAAGAGUAUUACCAGAAAAUAAGAAAUCCAAGAAAAACGUAGGAAAAUGGGAAAAUCGAACCAAUAUUAAACAAAUAUUAUUAAAGAAAAUCCAUAAUGACUAUUUAGU